AAGGUCUCCGUUGGUGAACCGGCGGAGGGAUCAUUA
Molecule: ribosomal RNA, 36 nt
Filed under: Beauveria brongniartii
Lineage: Eukaryota; Fungi; Ascomycota; Sordariomycetes; Hypocreales; Cordycipitaceae
Description: partial 18S ribosomal RNA
Source: RNAcentral